This 273-nucleotide ribosomal RNA is filed under the name uncultured bacterium. RNAcentral's name for it is "partial small subunit ribosomal RNA". It matches the Rfam family "Bacterial small subunit ribosomal RNA", at positions 26 to 285 of the family's 1533-position model. The record is from RNAcentral.
AGAACGAACGCUGGCGGCGUGGAUAAGACAUGCAAGUCGAACGGGAUAUCUUUUGUAGCAAUACAAAGGAUGUCCAGUGGCGUAAGGGUGCGUAACACGUGGGCAACCUGCCGAGAAGUGGGGGAUAGCUCGCCGAAAGGCGAAUUAAUACCGCAUGUGGCCAGGGAAGACAUCUUCCCCAAGCCAAAGCCGGGGCAACCUGGCGCUUCUUGAUGGGCCCGCGGCCUAUCAGCUAGUUGGUGAGGUAACGGCUCACCAAGGCUAUGACGGGUA